GCACAAUAAAUAGGACCCCAUCCAUCCAUUUUCUACCGCUAAUUCCCGUCGCCAGGGUCACGGGGGGGGGGGGGGGGGGCAUCUUCAGGCAAAGGCAGGGGACACCCUGGACAAGUCGCCAGUUCAUCGCAGGGCUGACAUAUAGAGACGAACAACCAUCCACACUCACAUUCACACCUAUGGGCAAUUUGGAAGUGGCCAAUUAACCUAACCCCACUUCUGCAUGUUUUUGGGAUGUGGGAGGAAACCGGAGUACCCAGAGUAAACCCACGCAGACACAGGGAGAACAUGCAAACUCCACACAGAAAUGCCCUGACCUGGAUUCGAACCCAGGACCUUCUCGCUGUGCGGCGACAGUGCUAACCACUACACCACUGUGCCGCCCCUUAACUGAGUUGCUGUCGCAAUUCCAAGUCUGUGUUCCUCUAAGAGCCCAGCAAACCUGAGAGUGAAAUACUAGUAUUUUAUACCUUAGAUUAAUGCCAAUUAACAACAGUGUUUAUGAAUGUGUAAAAGAUAAAAUAAAAUAAAAAAAGGGGGGGGGGGGGGGGUUGCACAAUAAAUAGGACCCAUUUAUGUAAAUCAAAUAGCAGAAUAACAGAUUAUAGCUAUGCUAUUGCUAUUAAUCAACUAAUAAAUAAUCAGUCAAUCUCUAAAGAAGAUUAGUGCAGUUUGGCUCAGAUGUCCCAUUUUUUUUAUUUUUUAUUCCUAAUUCACUGAUUGGACAUCUCACACUUUAAUCAACAGCAAUUAACCAGAAUGGCUCAUGGUGAAUGUAGAACAUCUUAAUGUAGCUUAUUAAACUUUUCAAAUGCAUGUCCAUUUUUUGUUGAUUAAAUAAUGGAUAUUUACAGGACAAAAACACUUCUUAAAGGGGACCUGCCAUCAAAAUGUAAUUUUGUCUGUUUUUGUGUCAGAUAAGGUCCAUAUUAUGUUCGUCUUAUGUUGUAAAUGUGAAAACAAACCGUUACGUCGUUUGCAUUCUGUAAAUGUUUAAAAUAAAGGAACGGAUAAACCAGGCCAAUUGAAAAAACAGGUCCUUCUGACAUCGCUCUGACCUUGCUCAUUAUUAUUCAGGAGCGCGUCCUUGGUGAGCCGCGCCCACUCUCUCGUUCUCGUACUCAUUCACAGUCAACAUCACUCUCCAGAGCGGGACCCAGCUACCACUGUAUCCGCUAUGGGUCUCUUCCAAACGACCGGUGUUUCCUUCGGUUCACUGCCGGGAAAAUGAACUUAAAGCUGAAUGAGAAAACAACUUCCACCUCCUCUUCGGACUUGGGGUCUAAAAUAUAUGGUUUAAUACCUGCCGUUUUUAGCCUUUAGCAUAAGGUGACCAGACGUCCCCAAUUUCCGGGGACAGUCCCCGUAUUGGAUGACCUGUCCCCGGCAAAAGCUGUCCCCGAAAAUGUCCCCGAUUUAAGUGUUUCAUGAAUGAGAGCAAAAAUGUUGCGUGUGGGCUCGAACAACGCUUAUUACAGGAGCCGAAUAGGUAGAAGGCACAAGUAAGCAGUCCUGAACAACAGUUCUUACAGGGUUAUUACAAGGGGCAUGCGCUGCUACUAAAUAGUACCGAGACUUUGUCUGUGAUCACACAGCCCCUGCACCGCCGCCGCCGCACCGAAUAUCCCCGGAUAUCAUUACAGACAUCUGGGCACCUUACUUUAGCACACAUUAGCAAAAUGGAUAAAACGAAAUCCGAACCUCCACUGCUGAGCCAAUCAGAGCACAGCAGGCUUCACAGCAGUGAUCCAAUCAGAGCAAAGCUCAUUACCAUAAAUGCUAAUGAGCCAAAAUCAGUUGAUUUUCCUGUAAGGUUUUUUAGGCAUACUAAAACAAACCAUCAAAUAACUUUUCAGCUAAAAUUAUGUUGCAAACAUGAUCAGAGGACAUCAAGGAUUAUGAAAAAAUGAUAAAAAUGGGUAUUAAAUUUUGAUGGCAGGUCCCCUUUAAUAUUUUCAAUUAAACUCCCCAGCUCAACCUAACUCCCUUCUGAAAAUCUGCAAUCAGUAUGUUCACAUUUUUUCCACAUUGAAUGUUUUUUACUAGGGCUGUCAAAAGUAAGCCGUUAAUGCCCAUUAAUCCAUCUUCAUGAUUGAUCUGGUUUAAAUUUUUUUUCACAUAAUUAGCCCAUCUGCAGUGCAGAAUGACUCAAGUUCCCUGAAACAACUCAAUCAGGGCUCUUCACUAACGUUUUAAGUUAAGAGUUCCCUGCAAUAGACAGGCCACACUGUCAACAAUAAAUACACAACAAAGCUUUCCCAUUGUACCCAACCACAGGUACUGUCUAAGCCAUUGGGGUUCAAAACAGUAUCUGUUUUCUUCACCUGCUGCUCGGCCGUAUCUUCCUGUACUUUUUAUCAUCAAUACCUUCUGAUUUGGCCCCUUCAGUCAGCUCUCCCUCUCUAAAAAUUUGGCAGCACCAUUUUGUUUUACCAAUUCAUAUAAAGUUAUUUAAAUCUAUAAAUAAGGGUGUAAACAUGAGUUUUGCCAGUAUGAUCUCCAACAGCAAAAGAGUGUGUUCAUGAACCACCGAAAGCUAGAGGGCUGAGAACAUAAGGCACCUCUAAAAACAGAGGUGGCAAGUCUGUUAUUAACCAUGUCAAACCUUUUGUUGGCUCAAACUGAGUGUUCUUGCUAUAGUGUCCUUAAUAACAGCAUGUUCUUUCACUUCAUAUAAGUCACAUCCAGCUCUGAGACAAGACCAAGACCUUGAAUUAGUGGUAUCGAGAUUGAUCUUCUCUGUUUAACUUGACAAACAUUGGUUGUAUCCUUGGUUAAAAAUUGACUGGUUAAAGUGGCUUAAGAGUUGCUCCUCUUUUUAAAAUUCUCUUCAUAAAAUCAUGAAAUUUUCUCAAAAUGUGUGCUUAAGGUUCAGAAUAUCAGAAUAUGUGAAGAUUACAUGACUGACAUACUGGCUUUAGUGGGGCUAGACCAUAGACUGUAUAUAGAAUUGAUGCCGUCUGCCUCCUUACCAGGUGUAGACACCGCGAGAACAGCACCCUCUGGUGACGGGCUGCAGAAUAGGUCAUAAAUCCUGCCUCCUCCAGUAAUCCCUAUGAAGCUGUGGACCAACCUUAGAAAUUAAUAACAUGGAAUAUUAAUUUGCCUCCCCCCUGGUUGUGAUGUUGACAUGUAGUUAUCGUAAGACUGGUUUGUACUUAAGUCCUCUUUUUCUGUGCAGCUCCAUUUUUAAAAAUUAGUAGGGGGUUCAUGUUUUCUGUGAUUGACACUUGAUGCAGCCUAUAGAUGUACGACGAUUGUGUAGCUCACCCAGGGGAUAUGCUGUUUGAGCCAAGCAUCAUCACAGCGACUUUCCCACCCAAGAUGUACAACGCUACUGCGCAAGUGGUGGUUCCAGGAAGUGGAGAAGAUCCCGGAAAUACCGAGAGCUUUUCAGCUUCAAAUUCGUAUAAUGAUGGAAGGGGGAACAAAGUUGUCCAUAGUUCAUACAGUCUAUGGGCUAGACAGCUUCGUGACCUCUCAUGUCCCACCACAACUUUGUUUUUUGAAGUUAUGUUGCUGAUUGUUAAUCGAGAAGUCAUGAUUGAUAAGUUUGCCUCACUCGCUGUUAGGUUUGGGCUCUCAAAAGCCAUUAAAUGAUAUUGUUUUCUCAUCUUGUAGUUAUGAUAUUGUGAACGUUUCCAUUUUCCUCCACUUUAUUCACAAAAACUGCUUUCAAGGGUGAAAUACAUGGAUGGAUUGCUCUCAUCUAAAGACUAAUUUAAAAGACCACCUUAAAAUUAAUUUAAUAACAAUAACAGUUGUCUAGACAUAUGUUAUAAUCAAGCUGUUCUAUUUCACCUGUCUCCUAUGUCCAUUAUCCCCCCCUGUUGUAGAUCAACCAAUCACAGCUUUAGGAAGAGUAUGUCAUACCCAGGAAUUCCAGGCAUGGGGUCAACCUCACUGAGACAAAAUGUUCAUCCUCCUCCUCUUGGAGUUGUUCUGAGAUCAUUGAUGAAUCACUCCUAGACGAGAACCAACUUGAUUAUUUUUACAGAUGUUUGACAUAAACCUGAGGAGAGCAAUUUCUUUGGAUUUGAAAAUGAUACAAUCCUUAAAGUGAGAAGGAUUUGUUUUGUAAGCACAUUUGAACAGUUGGCGCUUCAUUCAGACAUUAGCAUGCUUGUCAUGGAUUUCGGUCGGUGUGACUUGAAAUAAGGGUCCUUGUUCAUGCUUCAUAAAUCUCAGAUUGAAGUACCUGAAUAGCACCGGUGUCCUUGUUCCAAACACACAGCAGCUGACGAUGAUAAUGAUGAUGAUGAUGAUGACAAUGAUGAUGAUGAUAAUGGAGACACUCAGGCUUUGCUCAUAAUGUAAACGACUGCCUGCUGAAUGGAACCUUGUAGCGGGCCCUUCAUAGAAGUACAGCUGAAAGUGUGUACACACAUCGCCUAUACAUACUGUACAGCAUCUGCCACACACCUCCUGCCUCCCACACAAAGUGGUUUUCUUUUUUCCUCUCACACACCCACAGCCUCUCCAUAUGCUCACGCACAUACACACUCUUAGGCUUGCAGGACUCUGGUGCUUUUAGCAUGUUUCACCAUGUUGCAUCAUUUAUCUUCCUGUCAGUUUGUGCAAGGGCCCUGAUCUCAAUCCAUAUUCAUGACCAUCAAGUCAUCAAUUACUGUGUGUGUGUGGGAGAGAGAGAGCUGUAAUGUGAUCAAGAAACUUCCUCUCACUCAAAAACUUUAAUUCAGGUUUUUCAAUGCUUUGCAGGACUGAUCUCACAUGGAUCAAUAAGAGUCAGACGCUCUGGAAACACUGGUGCCUGUGUAUCAAUACUAACCUGUUUGAUUUCACAACACAUAGAAAUAACUAGUUUAGGGCUAAACUGAUUAAAGUCUAUAAAGAAGUGAUUUCUUGUAAUGAUCACUUUAUUUACUUUAGCGGGCUUUCUGCCUCCUUAGCUCCAUUUAUUGCACUGUGCCUCUAAUGAGGUUGAUGAUAAAUUUCAAGUUAAUGAGCCGUAAUGGAUGUAAAUGAGCAUAAAUUGAUACAUUAGCGUCCUCCUUCAGGAGCCUCUUAAUCUCACAGAUGUAGUGACUCCAAAUGAGGUAUAAAGUCUUCUCUUAUAAGGCCUGUCAUGAACCCAUGUACCAGACCUGAUUGACCAAAUUCAGAUCUAUUCAGCUGAUACAACACAGAAGGUGAACAGAGCGACACCAGGAUAUAACACGUGAUCAUUGGACAGAAAUGUCUGUCUUUACAAAAUCAGAACUACAUAUGACUACUUUCAGAUUAUUAGACCAGAUUAGAGGAAAAGUGGUGCCUUAAUGUACAAGAUGAGUAUCCAAGAAGAUAGAAGCUGUCUCCCCUUCUAAGUAUACAGCCUGUCACCUUGCAGACACAUGAUUUCAGCCAGGCUUACUGGUUAUUCAUCAUUCAGCAUCCACAUUUCUUUUUUCUUUAGGGCUCACAAUAAUGCUCAGUCUCUUCUUCAUCUUCCUCCAAGAAAUACUGUAAGUUUGUUGGUGGUUCGUCUGUCCUGACGUUUGGUUUAAACUAUAUGGAAAAAUAAAAAAAAUCCUAAAAAAACAAAACUCUUUAAAAAAAAAUAUAUAUAUUUAGCUUAUUUCACACUAACCCAAACAAACUUGAUCACAUUCUGCUCUGCUAAAUGCCAACAAAUCCCACACGCUGCCUUUAAUAGUUUUCCUGCAUCAUUAUUAUUAGAGUAAAUUGGUAUUAUGUCAGUGUAUGUUGGGGACAUAAAGAAAUCACAUUAGCCAUUAUAAAAGAGUAACAAAAACAACACUAUAAAUAAAACCAAAGCACACACAAAACAAAGCUGAAUAAAAAAAUUACAAACUAAAAUUAAUGGUAGUAUAAGGGAAACAGAUGAGAAUAAAAAGGUUAAAUUCAUCAUCAUCAACAACAGCAGUAAUGAAAUAAUGUAACUAAACUAGCACUGGUUUUAUGUUAUUUAGAUUUAUAACUAAAACAAGCACACUGUAUCUUAGAAAGGGUGGUCUGUCCCUUUAAAAAGUAUUUUCCACAAUAACAGGUUAUAAAUGUAUGCGUUACAUUAAUGUUUAUAUCUUUAAAAUAUCAGCACACAGAGCAAACAAAAGAGGAAAUAUCUAGAUCAAUGUUGAUGAUUUUUUGUCUCUCACCAAAGAGCCUGUAGACCUCUUGACCCCUCAUGACGCACAUUUUAUAUUCUCAAUAUUUAGACUUUAAAAUUCUCCCAAAUCUUUAAGUUAUAUUUCAUGCUAGAAGGUAAAAGCAUUGGCAUCUUUCAUUGUCUGAACCAAAGACUCUUUCGACUUCAGACAGUGCAGAGUCCUGCGGGUGUCAGGCCAGGAACCAGAAUCAAUAAAAACCUUAGUCUCCCUCCUGUCUUUGUCUCAUUGGCUCACAAGUUUCCUUAAGUUUUUCAGAUUUUUCAGUAUACUUUGAGACUCAUCGUGCCCUUUGUCCCCGUCAAACCUCUGACCUCUGAGUACCUUUCGUCUGGCUAAGACUCCCGGCUGAAAAGUGAAGGGACAGCAUGUUUACUGUCGGGACCCCGAGGCGGCAACAACCUGCCUGAGGAAAUCAGGUCGACUGAGUCAGUUAUCUUUUUUUAAAGUCACUUCCUAGAAAACACUUGCUGCAGAGAAACUUGCCUGAAUUCACCUGAAUUACUAUAUGUGCUUGCAUCAAUUUCCUUUAGAACCUGACUUUUAUAUUAUUUGACACUUGCUGACAUUUGAAGGAUACUUUUGAAUUAAAGGUAAAAUAAAUGGAGGUAAAUAAGAUUGUCUUUUUGAUUAUUCUCAUUUUUAUAUUUUAAUAUAACUACUCUAAUCUGCAUGGUCAGUCAACUGUUUGUGCAGGUUUGUGCAGGUUUGUGCGUGCGAGUGUGUGCAGCACUCUGCGUGAUGACAGAAAAAAGACAAAAUGUCAAUCAUAACAGCAGUCGGAGCAGAUGCAGAACAUUUCCUUUGAACUGCAGUGAACUCUCCCAUCAUGGAGACAAUGUAUUCACCCUGAUCGGACCAGAGCAGCAAAUGAUCUCAUUUAUUUUCUGAGACCUGCUUAUCUGAUUUUCCAUCUAUUAUAAAUCCUCAAUAAUUUCAUAUUACUGUGUGGGAGCAGGACUCACACACAUUAUACCUCCUCUUUCUGUUUCCUUUGUGAUCAAUCUCAUACAUACACAACCCAGCAUAUGCACUCAAUCUGCUUUGCAUUACAUCAGCAUUGAACUGUUUGGGGUAUUUUCUGUGUGACAGAGGCCCAGACAGCUCCACAGAGAGCUUCAUUAUAUCCGGGCACAGCUGUGAUGAUCACUUUUCUGUAAAGGAGCAAAGAGUUUUGGAUGAUUAGCCAACUGUAAGCUGUCUGACCUCGUGGCACUCAGCUUCACACUUCGGUGGACUAAUUGGCCCGUAAAUCUUUGAGGAAUUCAAACAGUGAUUCAAACACUGACUGUCAGUGUUCGCCCGGCCCAGCAGGGAGCUGUGCCGCCUGCUCGCUGACAGCGCCAUGCCAACAAGCAUGACGCGGAUAAAUUGCUUGAUUUCAGGUAUGCAUCUAUACAUCAGCGUAAGUGACUCGAUAGCUUGGAUGAAGGUCCUCAUUAAUAUCUAUAGUAAUCAGACCCAUUUCUUAGUUUUGUGCAUUUUCUAUGAACCAAAUAAAAAAAAUAACCUCAGAAAAAUCUACCAAAUAAAUCUCAGGGUUAGAACUGAAGGCCAGGUCUAGUUUUCAGUUCGAACAUUUCUGUUAAAACAAAGUUUAAAAGAUGUCCAAGACCACCACUGAAAAAAAGAGUUCAGAGGGGGUUCAAAUGUAAAGGUUUUUCUAUCUGUUUGUACGGAUUUAUUCAGCAUCUGCAUUUAGAUCACAUUUCACUGAAAUAUUAGACUCUGCCUCGCAGAUCAUAUUCUAUAUCAUAUGAUAUAUCAUAUCAUAUACGGUAUAUCAUAUAUGAUUACAGAUCAUAACAGAAGAAAUCAGUAAGACUUUUUCACAGCACUGCUACAAUGGCUGUGAAAGUGUGUGUGUGUGUGUGUGUGUGUGUGUGUGUGUGUGUGUGUGUGUGUGUGUGUGUGUGUGUGUGUGUGUGUGUGUGUGUGUGUGUGUGUGUGUCAUGGUGAGUAUAGGUUUCAUCCUCUGGAGAACUGGAGCAUUAGGACAGACACUUGAUAAUGGUCGGUUUGAUAGCUGGUGAGAAAUUAUGGUGUGGACUGAAGUAGUUUGAUGAUGACAAGCCUAAAUUUUUAUCUCUACAUUCAUGCUGUCAGCAGAGCAGAAACAUGUCAACAUGCUUAUACAGUGUCUAUUUACACGUAUGUAGCUGAUGGGGAACACGGGUCAUUCAGAAUAACAGAUUUGUACAGAGGGAACCGUGACGGAGGUUCCAUUUGAAGUUAGUUUGUGAGGAUUUUGAGUUAUGCAGCAGUUUGGGUUCCUGUGUUCCUCUCCUCUGUGUGUGUUCUCCCUCUCUCUCUCUCUCGCUGCAGCAUUGGAGGCACGACGGGAGGCGGGGCUGGCCCGGACUGAUUGCACGCACCUGAUUCUCAUUGGUGUCAGUUACCUGGCUUUAUUUGCGAGCUCCUCUGACGACUCAGCACUGGAGGAUUUCCCAGUCAUGCAACACGUGUCUUGCCACGCUGAUCUCCCGCCCGUGUAUCCAUCCUGCUUCUCAGUGUUUGUUUGUGAGUUCUUUUGUUACUUUCCAGAGAGUUUUUCCCUUGAGCAAAUGUGAUUUUGUGUUCGAGUUUUUUCCUCCAGUUGAGAAGAUUUUUUUGGUUUACUAUUUCUGUUGCACUUUGUCUUUUUACAUCCUUAGUUGUUACUUGCCCCACGCGGCACUAUCAUUUGAACUUUGUUUUUUCACCAGCUAUUUUGCCUUGCUCCAGUGAUUAUCUCCUAACCCUGGUUUUGUGUUUUUUAGUGGCAGUCCCAGCUGACCGUGCCUUUUCCCAGAAACUGCGAUUUUCUGUUGUUCACUUUGAUCUAUUGUUUAUUGUCAAUAAAUUUGGGCAUUUGUUUCUGCAUUUUUGGAUCCUGGCCUUUGUUCGAUUCUUAACAUAGUGUAACUCCUCAAGCUGUGAAGCUCAUUUAUCACAAAAACCUGGUGAAGAGAUCCCAUCUCAGUCAGCAAACAGGCAAAGAUAUUGAACAAACCAACACGGAUAACCAACGGAAACAAACAGGAUAAAGAGCAGGGAUGACUUUAAUACUAGACAGUUCUUUCACUGAUGAAAUGGAGCAUGUAAAAAAAAUUACAAAACUGACCUCAGAGGAGAGGAAGAGCUAAGAGGACUGGAGAUGAAGCAUCGAAGAAAAUUUGCUCUUGAGACCUGGAAGAAGCUGAAGAAGGAAAGAGAGAGAGGACAGAGAAAGAAACUCCCAAAAGAGAGAAGGAUGCAGGAGGCCAAACAGAGAAAGGAGGAGCAGAGAAAGACUAAUGAACUGAAGGCCCUGCAGAGAUUGAACAGAAGCAGCUGAGGCAGAAGAGGCUUGACUAAAGAAAAGUGGUGUGGGUAGAGGAGGAGCCAGAAAACAGGCUCAGGCACAAACCUAGUGCCAUGGCUACAGCAAGACAGUUGAUUUUUCCUCAGCACACUAAAACUCAGACGGACAAGUGUGAAAUCAGAUCUGGAAGCACUUGGUGAGCAUCAAAGUGCACACAAGGCAGAUGGAGUGGACUAAGGAACGGUUGUAACCUUCUUGAAAUCAAGUUGCUGACUUGAAUGAGGGUGCUUUUAACAAUGGUCCAGUGCUUCAGUGUCUUACCUUUGACACUAAUUACCCACAGAGAGAGCAAACCAGUGUUGUGGAGAAUGCCGGAACUGAUCCCACUAUCUCCUGCAUAAUAAGUGAGUGCUACUAUUGGAGCUAAUUCCCUCGUGAAUAUGUUCACAAGCAGGGUGCAGCAACACCAGAGUAGCUUCAACACUGUCCGCUUUAAACGGCAGCAGCAAAGAAGCUAAAUGGCUAAAACAGCAGGGAGACGACCCAUUGUCUAGUUUUGGUCCUUCUCCACAACCUUUCAAAUCAGCCCCAGGUAUAAACUUCUCUCCUCUGACUUAGAACUUGUCUCAUAGAGUCAGUGUUAUAAAUAACUUAAUUCACACCUAUUUGCCAAUGGAUUUCCAACACUGAAAUGCAAGUUCAGCCAACAUGGAGAAAUUACACCUAGCAUAUAUACAUAUGCUAGGUAUAUGUCUUGAGUUUUGGCUACAGUUUACAUGAGACUCAGAAAAUCUAAGUGAGAGGGACUAUUCAGGCCACCUGAACAGUUGAAUCUGUUCACAUGACCCUAAAAAUAUGGAAACCAAGCAAAUUCAAGAUUCUCAUGCAGCCGACACACUUCCUGUAAGAGCCAGGGCACAUUAGGCUACUGAAACAGAAUCAACAUUGGGGUUUACCAAACUGUUCCAAACCAAACUGGAUUGUAUGGUGGAUUCAUCCAAAUGAUUAAAAACUGGAGACUGGGUUUUAAAUGUCACAACUGCAAUCUCAGGUUAAUCGGCUUUAUUUGUGAAAUAAUUUUUUUCCUUUAAGUGUGAAACAUCAAAUUACAAUCAGAUAAUCCAAUAUUACAGUCUACUGAAUCUUUGAAUGUCAAUCUGGGACUUGUAUUUAUUUUUUCUCUUUUUAACUCAAUCAUCAUCACUCGCUCUUCGAUUACUGUCAUGAAUUGGUUACCACGACAACAGGCUCAACAAUCAGAAAAGACCCUCCAUCAGAGAAUUUGCAAAGCAUGUUACAGCCGUAUUUGACCAAUCUCUGAAUGGCCCUUAACCCCGUGCCCAUAACACUGAGUACAUACGCUCUCCAGAGUUUAUGAUGUUAUUACACUGAAGUCAGUGUGCACUGAGGGAUCGACCACACAUAAUUAGAAGUGUAUUUAUGGUGGCUGUUACAUGCCAUUAAUUUCCAGUAGCUUUAUUGUGCCCAUGCAGUUUUAGAGUGGAGGAUGAUUGGAUUUGUGAGAUGGAGGUUGUAAAUUAAGGGGAAAAGUUAAGAUCUAGCCAUAAAAAUCCAGAGCCUCUCCUUGCGAUUAAAGCCUGGCUUUAAAUAUUUUCAAAGUAUUUAAUGUAAAGUUUGUGUAAUUUAUUUCUGCUGGAUAAAUUGAUUUUCUGUUUCCCUUCUACUGAGUUACUGCCAAUAUAUGUGUACUUCUAAUGUUGCUCCUCCAAAGAACGGCAUCAGGACAGCAAGAACACAUUGGUAGAAACUGUAAGUCCAUGCCAUAUCUGACUCAUUCAUGCCAUGUCCUGUCAGUGUGUGCAUGUCCACCUUUUGAGACUAUAAUCUUAACUAAUCUCUGUGUGACCACAAAGAUACCCAAAUGCCCAUCCGUUUACAACCCCACAGAGUGAUUUCUUUGAUUGGUGUGCCGAGAAACACAUCUGCACAUGUUAACGCCUGUCCUGCACGAUAACAGAUCAGGGUUGUGAACUGGUCAGUCAUUAUUAUCUCUGCAAUCACACACAGUUAUACAGAGCUUAUAAUCUCCUUUUAUUUUCUGGUUUGACUUCCCAGCUCAUUGAUCAGUUGGUCAAGCCACUCUCAUCAGCUUUCUUUUGGCAGCAGCACCUAGUGGGUGGCAGAAGAAGACAGGGAUACCAGUGGAGAGCAACAGAGGUAAUCAUGUCAGACAUUCCUGUUUGGUUUCGCUCCAGGUCAACCCUAAAACUAAGCCCUUAUUGUCUUUUGCUGACAUAUAUUUAGCAAUGGUCUGUUAACAUCAAUGUAUAUCUGAAGGUAAUUGGAGAAAAAUUUUGAAUUUCCAUGAAAGCAACAUCUGAUCAUGGAGUAAAUACAUCCCAAAAAACAUAAACCUCAUGAUAGAUUUAAAAAACUUGAAGUUACUCCCAACUGUUCAGCCUGUAAUGGCCUUGCUUUUAAACUUUUGGCCUAUGGUGUACAUACAUACAUACAUCAAAUAAAUAAAUAGAUUUUUAAAAAUCCACUUUUGUAGCAAUUUCACAUUUUUAUUGGUUUAUAAAUAAUCUUUUCCAU
This is a non-coding RNA of Xyrichtys novacula (pearly razorfish), 11964 nucleotides long. The record is from the annotation of a GenBank genome assembly. Lineage: Eukaryota; Metazoa; Chordata; Actinopteri; Labriformes; Labridae.